GUUUUAUUGUCUUGGUUAGUUAGAGCAUGGUGCUAAUAACACCAAGUUUGCAGGUUAGAUUCCUGUAUGGACCA
The sequence is a transfer RNA, 74 nucleotides long. It matches the Rfam family "tRNA". From Rfam's summary of the family: Transfer RNA (tRNA) molecules are approximately 80 nucleotides in length.